GUGGGGAAUUUUGGACAAUGGGCGCAAGCCUGAUCCAGCAAUGCCGCGUGCAGGAAGAAGGCCUUCGGGUUGUAAACUGCUUUUGUACGGAACGAAACGGUCCGGGUUAAUACCCUGGGCUAAUGACGGUACCGUAAGAAUAAGCACCGGCUAACUACGUGCCAGCAGCCGCGGUAAUACGUAGGGUGCAAGCGUUAAUCGGAAUUACUGGGCGUAAAGCGUGCGCAGGCGGUUUUGUAAGACAGGCGUGAAAGCGCCGGGCUCAACGUGGGAAUUGCGCUUGUGACUGCAAGGCUGGAGUGCGGCGGAGGGGGAUGGAAUUCCGCGUGUAGCAGUGAAAUGCGUAGAUAUGCGGAGGAACACCGAUGGCGAAGGCAAUCCCCUGGGCCUGCACUGACGCUCAUGCACGAAAGCGUGGGGAGCAAACAGGAUUAGAUACCCCGGUAGUCC
This 450-nucleotide ribosomal RNA is filed under the name uncultured bacterium. RNAcentral's name for it is "partial 16S ribosomal RNA". It matches the Rfam family "Bacterial small subunit ribosomal RNA", at positions 354 to 796 of the family's 1533-position model. The record is from RNAcentral.